GAUGAACGCUGGCGGCGUGCCUAAUACAUGCGAGUCGAGCGAACGGACGAGAAGCUUGCCUCUCUGAUGUUAGCGGCGGACGGGUGAGUAACACGUGGAUAACCUACCUAUAAGACUGGGAUAACUUCGGGAAACCGUAGCUAAUACCGGAUAAUAUUUUGAACCGCAUGGUUCAAAAGUGAAAGACGGUCUUGCUGUCACUUAUAGAUGGAUCCGCGCUGCAUUAGCUAGUUGGUAAGGUAACGGCUUACCAAGGCAACGAUGCAUAGCCGACCUGAGAGGGUGAUCGGCCACACUGGAACUGAGCCACGGUCCAGACUCCUACGGGAGGCAGCAGUAGGGAAUCUUCCGCAAUGGGCGAAAGCCUGACGGAGCAACGCCGCGUGAGUGAUGAAGGUCUUCGGAUCGUAAAACUCUGUUAUUAGGGAGGAACAUAUGUGUAAGUAACUGUGCACAUCUUGACGGUACCUAAUCAGAAAGCCACGGCUAACUACGUG
RNAcentral lists this ribosomal RNA (497 nucleotides) under uncultured bacterium. RNAcentral's name for it is "partial 16S ribosomal RNA". It matches the Rfam family "Bacterial small subunit ribosomal RNA", at positions 28 to 507 of the family's 1533-position model. The record is from RNAcentral.